UCUUGAUCCUCAGGUCACGAGUCAAGUCCUAUGUUGGGUGUAGAGCCUUCUUAAAUAUAUAUAUAUAAAUACUACUGCCUAACUCUAAAGCUCUUUACUACUAUGCUAUACCACAUUUAACACUAGUUAAGGGCUCAUUUCCUGCCAGCAAAGGGAUUGGUAAGGAGAUAAUUAGAAUAUAACCUACUGGUAUAUUUUGUAAAGUUUCCCUGAGUAGAAUUUGAUUAAUCAUUUCCAAACCUUAGGAGAACAAACAAAAGAAACUUUUAAAUAAAAGCAAGGGAGAGAUGGUUUUGUAACACAGUUGCAUGAGGAUAAUGAAACACUUGGAUGAAUUUUUACUGGGGUCGUGAUUCCCCAGAGAAACCUUCAAGGAAAGAAUUUACCACGUUCAUCAUGGAUGGUUCUUUGUGCCAUCGUGGAGAGCUUUUGAUCCAGAUCAGAGGGCACCUGGCUGCUCCCACCAAUGCGGGAAUCAAGGAGGAAGAAUGCCCCCAUCCUCUGCAUUGGACCCACUUGACAUCAGCUGUUCAGAGCUGCGGUGCUUGCAGAAUUAAGGUCACACUGAAUGAGCGUGAUUAUUGUUCAUCAUUAAAUGGUAAAGGAUCUAAGACUCACAGGAGUUCUAUAACUCUCCCAAGAUUAUGAUAUAGUAUUUACGAGUGAUUACUCUGCACCAGUAUUAAACUAAGUGCACUACAACAAUCCAAUGAAGAAAUGACUUAUUAUUCCCAUUUUUCAGAGAUGGAAAUUAAGUCUAACAGAAAAUAAAUUAUUGCUUCCUCAAGA
This is a long non-coding RNA of Leptonychotes weddellii (Weddell seal), 789 nucleotides long. RefSeq lists it as uncharacterized. The record is from RefSeq and is a predicted model, not a curated record. NCBI's taxonomy places the organism in Eukaryota, Metazoa, Chordata, Mammalia, Carnivora, Phocidae.